ACGAACGCUGGCGGCGCGCCUAAUACAUGCAAGUCGAGCGAGAAGACGUAGCAAUACGUUUGUAAAGCGGCGAACGGGUGAGGAAUACAUGGGUAACCUACCCUCGAGUGGGGAAUAACUAGCCGAAAGGUUAGCUAAUACCGCGUACGCUCCUUGGACUUCGGUUCAGGGAGGAAAGCGAUACCGUGGGUAUCGCGCUCUUGGAUGGGCUCAUGUCCUAUCAGCUUGUUGGUGAGGUAACGGCUCACCAAGGCUUCGACGGGUAGCUGGUCUGAGAGGACAAUCAGCCACACUGGCACUGCGACACGGGCCAGACUCCUACGGGAGGCAGCAGUAGAAGU
This 341-nucleotide ribosomal RNA is filed under the name uncultured bacterium. Its description in RNAcentral is "bacterial SSU rRNA". It matches the Rfam family "Bacterial small subunit ribosomal RNA", at positions 29 to 362 of the family's 1533-position model. The record is from RNAcentral.